Molecule: small RNA, 2518 nt
Filed under: Pongo abelii (Sumatran orangutan)
Lineage: Eukaryota; Metazoa; Chordata; Mammalia; Primates; Hominidae
Description: retained intron
Source: RNAcentral
CUGAAGCGGAAGUGGAGGAAAGAUGGAGGACCAUCAGCACGUGCCCAUCGACAUCCAGACCAGCAAGCUGCUCGAUUGGCUGGUGGACAGAAGGCACUGCAGCCUGAAAUGGCAGAGUCUGGUGCUGACGAUCCGCGAGAAGAUCAAUGCUGCCAUCCAGGAUAUGCCAGAGAGCGAAGAGAUCGCCCAGCUGCUGUCUGGGUCCUACAUUCACUACUUUCACUGCCUAAGAAUCCUGGACCUUCUCAAAGGCACAGAGGCCUCCACGAAAAAUAUUUUUGGCCGAUACUCUUCACAGCGGAUGAAGGAUUGGCAGGAGAUUAUAGCCCUGUAUGAGAAGGACAACACCUACUUAGGUAAAGUGGCCUGGCCUGGGAGCCCUGGUAUCCAUGGGGAAGCCCACUCUCAGAGUUCUGAGAUACCAGGCUUAUAGGAGGCACAGUCUGUGAGUGGGAAGAGACUGGAGUAUAGAUGUUGCCUGUUUGUAGGUGGUAGAAUCAAUUGUUUUUGAUGGAGUUGAUUUUCCCUGGGUGGAGUGCUGGGGGAAGGAGGAGGUCCAGGCCGGUAGUGGGCAUUCACCAUGCCUCAGCGAGCAGGUGUGUGUGGGUCCUCCACCACUCACCUGUUGCUUAGCGGGAGUGUGCUGCCCCCACCCCUACGCCCGCACCCCCAUUCUGCAAGGCAGAAGAGGCACGGGUUUUCCUGGGAGCGAAUAUCAAGUGCCUGAGAGAGAGCAACUACAGGACUAAUUGUGUUUGGGUUGGGUUUAGUAUAAAUGAUAAUAAUGGCUAAUAUUUACUGAGCAUCUACUAAAUGCAAGGAAUUGUGCUUGGUGUGUCAUGUGGAUUCCCUCUUGCGUCUUCAUGAUAAAUGUUAUUGUCGCUGUUUUACAGAUGAGGGUUGGAUUAGAGGGGUUAAACAACUUGUCUUAGGCUCCACAGCUGGGAACAAGUGGGGCAGGGAAGCUGACUUCAUGCUCUUCACCACCACAAAGGGUGUGUGUGCAUCCUGGGGCAUGCCUGCCUCAUGUGGGGGUGUCCUGGGCUGAAUUUCCUGGGCACUUCUCAGUGGAACUCUCUAGCCUCCUGGUUCGGAAUGUCAACUAUGAGAUCCCCUCACUGAAGAAGCAGAUUGCCAAGUGCCAGCAGCUGCAGCAAGAAUACAGCCGCAAGGAGGAGGAGUGCCAGGCAGGGGCUGCCGAGAUGCGGGAGCAGUUCUACCACUCCUGCAAGCAGUAUGGUAUCAUGGGCGAAAAUGUCCGAGGAGAACUGCUGGCCCUGGUGAAGGACCUGCCGAGUCAGCUGGCUGAGAUUGGGGCAGCGGCUCAGCAGUCCCUGGGGGAAGCCAUUGACGUGUACCAGGCGUCUGUGGGGUUUGUGUGUGAGAGCCCCACAGAGCAGGUGUUGCCAAUGCUGCAGUUCGUGCAGAAGCGGGGAAACUCAACGGUGUACGAGUGGAGGACAGGGACAGAGCCCUCUGUGGUGGAGCGACCCCACCUCGAGGAGCUUCCGGAGCAGGUGGCAGAAGACGCGAUUGACUGGGGCGACUUUGGGGUAGAGGCAGUGUCUGAGGGGACUGACUCUGGCAUCUCUGCCGAGGCUGCUGGAAUCGACUGGGGCAUCUUCCCGGAAUCAGAUUCAAAGGACCCUGGAGGUGAUGGGAUAGACUGGGGAGACGAUGCUGUUGCUUUGCAGAUCACAGUGCUGGAAGCGGGAACCCAGGCUCCAGAAGGUGUUGCCAGGGGCCCAGAUGCCCUGACACUUCUUGAAUACACUGAGACCCGGAAUCAGUUCCUUGAUGAACUCAUGGAGCUUGAGAUCUUCUUAGCCCAGAGAGCAGUGGAGUUGAGUGAGGAGGCAGACGUCCUGUCUGUGAGCCAGUUCCAGCUGGCUCCAGCCAUCCUGCAGGGUCAGACCAAAGAGAAGACGGUUACCAUGGUGUCAGUGCUGGAGGAUCUGAUUGGCAAGCUUACCAGUCUUCAACUGCAACACCUGUUUAUGAUCCUGGCCUCACCAAGGUAUGUGGACCGAGUGACUGAAUUCCUCCAGCAAAAGCUGAAGCAGUCCCAGUUGCUGGCUUUGAAGAAAGAGCUGAUGGUGCAGAAGCAGCAGGAGGCACUUGAGGAGCAGGCAGCUCUGGAGCCUAAGCUGGACCUGCUGCUGGAGAAGACCAAGGAGCUGCAGAAGCUGAUUGAAGCUGACAUCUCCAAGAGGUACAGCGGGCGCCCUGUGAACCUGAUGGGAACCUCUCUGUGACACCCUCCGUGUUCUUGCCUGCCCAUCUUCUCCGCUUUUGGGAUGAAGAUGAUAGCCAGGGCUGUUGUUUUGGGGCCCUUCAAGGCAAAAGACCAGGCCGACUGGAAGACGGAAAGCCACAGGAAGGAAGCAGCACCUGAUGGUGAUCUUGGCACUCUCCAUGUUCUCUACAAGAAGCUGUGGUGAUUGGCCCUGUGGCCUGUCAGGUGAAAACCACAGCUUCUUCUAAUUAGUAUAGCAGACUUCAUAAAAGAGGAAAAAAC